RNAcentral lists this ribosomal RNA (458 nucleotides) under uncultured bacterium. RNAcentral's name for it is "partial 16S ribosomal RNA". It matches the Rfam family "Bacterial small subunit ribosomal RNA", at positions 339 to 795 of the family's 1533-position model. The record is from RNAcentral.
CUACGGGUCGCAGCAGUAGGGAAUAUUGGUCAAUGGACGCAAGUCUGAACCAGCCAUGCCGCGUGCAGGAUGACGGCCCUCUGGGUUGUAAACUGCUUUUAUAUGGGAAGAAACCCCGGGAUGCGUUCCGGGCUGACGGUACCAUACGAAUAAGGAUCGGCUAACUUCGUGCCAGCAGCCGCGGUAAGACGAAGGAUCCAAGCGUUGUCCGGAUUUACUGGGUUUAAAGGGUGCGUAGGCGGAUGCUUAAGCCAGUGGUGAAAUCUCUCAGCUCAACUGAGAAACUGCCAUUGGAACUGGGCAUCUUGAAUUCGAUUGAGGUAGAUGGAAUAUAACAUGUAGCGGUGAAAUGCUUAGAUAUGUUAUGGAACACCGAUUGCGAAGGCAGUCUACUAAGUCGAUAUUGACGCUGAGGCACGAAAGCGUGGGUAGCGAACAGGAUAGAUACCCUGGUAGUC